GACGAACGCUGGCGGCGUGCCUAAUACAUGCAAGUAGAACGCUGAAGGAGGAGCUUGCUCUUCUGGAUGAGUUGCGAACGGGUGAGUAACGCGUAGGUAACCUGCCUGGUAGCGGGGGAUAACUAUUGGAAACGAUAGCUAAUACCGCAUAACAGUAGAUGUUGCAUGACAUUUACUUAAAAGGUGCAAUUGCAUCACUACCAGAUGGACCUGCGUUGUAUUAGCUAGUUGGUGGGGUAACGGCUCACCAAGGCGACGAUACAUAGCCGACCUGAGAGGGGGAUCGGCCACACUGGGAGUGAGACACGGCCCAGACGCCUACGGGACGCAGCAGUAGGGAAUCUUCGGCAAUGGUCGGAAGUCUGACCGAGCAACGCCGCGUGAGUGAAGAAGGUUUUCGGAUCGUAAAGCUCGGUUGUAAGAGAAGAACGAGUGUGAGAGUGGAAAGUUCACACUGUGACGGUAUCUUACCAGAAAGGGACGGCUAACUACGUG
Molecule: ribosomal RNA, 495 nt
Filed under: uncultured bacterium
Lineage: Bacteria
Description: partial 16S ribosomal RNA
Rfam family: Bacterial small subunit ribosomal RNA
Source: RNAcentral